AACGAACGCUGGCGGCAUGCCUAACACAUGCAAGUCGAACGAGACCUUCGGGUCUAGUGGCGCACGGGUGCGUAACGCGUGGGAACCUGCCCUUAGGUUCGGAAUAACUCCCCGAAAGGGGUGCUAAUACCGGAUAAUGUCUUCGGACCAAAGAUUUAUCGCCUUUGGAUGGGCCCGCGUUGGAUUAGCUAGUUGGUAGGGUAAAAGCCUACCAAGGCGACGAUCCAUAGCUGGUCGGAGAGGAUGAUCAGCCACACUGGGACUGAGACACGGCCCAGACUCCUACGGGAGGCAGCAGUGGGGAAUAUUGGACAAUGGGCGAAAGCCUGAUCCAGCAAUGCCGCGUGAGUGAUGAAGGCCUUAGGGUUGUAAAGCUCUUUUACCUGGGAUGAUAAUGACAGUACCGGGAGAAUAAGCUCCGGCUAACUCCGUG
RNAcentral lists this ribosomal RNA (433 nucleotides) under uncultured bacterium. RNAcentral's name for it is "partial 16S ribosomal RNA". It matches the Rfam family "Bacterial small subunit ribosomal RNA", at positions 29 to 507 of the family's 1533-position model. The record is from RNAcentral.